Molecule: ribosomal RNA, 253 nt
Filed under: uncultured bacterium
Lineage: Bacteria
Description: partial 16S ribosomal RNA
Rfam family: Bacterial small subunit ribosomal RNA (bases 27-253)
Source: RNAcentral
UACCAGCACCCCGAGUGGUCGGGACGAUUAUUGGGCGUAAAGAGCGUGUAGGCGGUUUUACAGGUCCGCUGUGAAAACUCGAGGCUCAACCUCGAGCUGUCGGUGGAAACCGUAAGGCUAGAGUCCGGAAGAGGAGAGUGGAAUUCCUGGUGUAGCGGUGAAAUGCGCAGAUAUCAGGAAGAACACCCGUGGCGAAGGCGGCUCUCUGGGACGGUACUGACGCUGAGACGCGAAAGCGUGGGGAGCGAACAGG